UAGCUGAGAAGAGACGUGUUCGAUUGCCGCCUCGAUCAUCCUGGUGAGUUUUACUUAAUCUUUUCUUUUGAUUGUUUUUUGAACUUUGAAAGCCGGAUGAUGAUCUCAUGUUUUAUUCCAGGGAUGCUGAAGAUACUAUUCCUGUGGAGAUAGGGGUGGAGGUUGGUCUCCCGACUACGCUCUCUGGCUCCUUAGUCAAUUUGUUGAUGGAUGACGCACCUGAGGUUGAAGACACAAGUCG
This 241-nucleotide long non-coding RNA is filed under the name Setaria italica (foxtail millet). RNAcentral's name for it is "long non-coding RNA (SITA_LNC005027)". The record is from RNAcentral. Lineage: Eukaryota; Viridiplantae; Streptophyta; Magnoliopsida; Poales; Poaceae.